This is an RNA transcript of Acyrthosiphon pisum (pea aphid), 2241 nucleotides long. RefSeq lists it as uncharacterized. The record is from RefSeq and is a predicted model, not a curated record. The transcript is spliced from 3 exons. Lineage: Eukaryota; Metazoa; Arthropoda; Insecta; Hemiptera; Aphididae.
UUCAUUUUCGGUUGUUUAUUAUUAGUUAUUUAGUUAUAUCAAUUUUUUCUUUCGAACUAUAAUAAUAUCAUUAGUUUUUACUGUAUAGCCAAGUCUGUUUGAAAGGAGAUUACAAAACCCGUACUGAUUAAUAUAAUCGCGAAAUUAUAUUAUGCAGCUUAUUAUUGAUAUUUUCGUAAACACAAUAAUAUAGUUAAUAGUGUAGUUGCGUGUACCUAUUUUGGAAAUUUAGUAUUUUAAGAUUCUCGAUUCCCGGAAUUUUAUGUUUGUGAUAAAUAUUUAGGUAUAUUUAUUAAAUUUGAUCCACUAUUCUAAAGCCGCUUACGAAAUCUACAACAUAAUAUAAUAUUGUGUGCGAAGUGUUCAAUUUUCAAUUCGAAAUUUUUCCGAUCGACAAUCCCCUUCUUUAUAAAAUAAUAUUGUUAUGUUCGCAGCCCGCAAGCCCCCGAAUUUCGUUAAAAUUGCAAUGUGAAUGUUGUUGUGUUUUCUCACAGCCGGGGCUGCAUGCUCGCAUUAUUGUUGUCACCCCUGAUGGAAAAAAAAACGGUUAAUCAUAUAAUGGAUAUUGGCUGGUAUAGAAGAGUGACGGCGGCGGAUAGGACCGAAAACGACCUACACCACCGCCGCUGACUACUGUGCGUACGCACGGGGACCAUUGUUAAAAUUCUUACCCUAGGUUAGUUGUUCACCCUUACCCAUGGGCGUUGGCGCCGUAUGGUAUGAUAUGCGCUCGUCGUUGAGAGGGGGUGUCCCUUCGGUUUCUACGGUCCCCCUCCACCCCUUUCCAAUGUCGUUCGUUACCGGCUAGCAACGCCGCACACCGUACGUCCGUACCGCGCAUACGCAUCAGAGUACGCACAGCUCUCGGACCUCGGUUGCCGGCAGUUCGGUUCUUGUCUCGGUCUGCGUCCCUUGCGAUUCGAUCCGAUCCGAUCCGAUAACUUCGUUUUUUUUUGUUUUAAACUUAAUAUUUAUCCAUCGGUUUUCAGUUUGUUUUGUGUAUCAUUUUAUUUUUUAACUCACCUCCCAUCCGCGUUUAUGGUGUAAAACCAUUCGUCAAGGAAACAUAGAAAGCAGUUGAAGCUGUACCAAUCGUUGAUGAAAGAAGUAGGAGUUAAGUCAAACCAAAGUAUUGGACAGUAUUGGACAUUGGUUAUAAAAUCUCAAUAUACAUUUUGUUAUGUUGUACAAUUUGUGAAUAAUUAAUUUUUGGUAUCAGAUUAGCAGCUAUCUGCCACUUCUUUAUUGUGAAUUCUGAUUGCUAUACUCAAUUCAGUCAAACCACUCGGCCGACCAAAUCACGUUUUUCGGUGCAUGCUUACCACAAUUCGGACUCCAGUGAAAGCGUUAGCACAGAAGACUGUCGUUCAAUCACAGAACGCAUAAUCAUCGCAUGGGGGGAUUCAGGCAGUGUUUGACGGCCAAUCUGCAUGCGUGUAAGGGGUUCAAUUGUAACUUCAACAAAGUACUUCUUUCCUUUUAAUUAUUGAUUUCAAAUUGAAAAGAGUAUCCAUGUUAUGAUUUGGAUUUUAUGUAAUUGAUCUUUAUGUAACAAUUUAUAUGAUUUAACUUACCAGCGUGUAUAGUAUCUGUCAUACUAACAUAUAAGAUUCAUUUGUAUAAAUACCAAAAUAUAUGUUCAGUAGUUCCAAUUUUGUGUUGUUGAUUCAAAACUGAAUCUGCUGAACAAAAAUUGUGUAGGUAUAUUGUCUAUUUGUGAGACAAGACAACUUGCGAUUGUGGCGUCCCCUUAACGUUUCCAUAUUUGUAAACUGGUGGUUAAUUAGUUUAUUAUAGUCAUGGCCGUAUACGGGAUAUGCAGGUUAUACACUUGCAUAAUAUGCAAUGCAUACCCUGUUGGCCUGGGGCAGAAACUUUUUAGAGGGCAUAAUAUGAACUAAGUCCCUAAAUAAAAUUUUUUGAAAAAAAAAAUAACAAAAUUUGUAGGUACAAUCUGUUCACGGAUUUUAUAUAUUUAUUUGACAAGUUAUUUUACGUUAUUGUAAAAAUAUAAUGAUCUUAUUUUUCAUCUUAAAAUUUUUUUUAUUAUAUAUGUUCUAAAUGAACGGUUAAAAAAGUAGUUAGUCAAGUCAAUAGGAAGUGUCAUUACUGGAUUGCUUCUUCCAACUUCAAAUUUUUCUAAUGUCACUGUAAUUUAGCUUUAGCCCAUAUUCUUAUUGUGCCUCAGGGUAGGUACAGAUUGUAUAAUAUUUCUUAUAUAUAUAUAAAAAAAAAAUUAUU